Molecule: long non-coding RNA, 1977 nt
Organism: Lemur catta (Ring-tailed lemur)
Lineage: Eukaryota; Metazoa; Chordata; Mammalia; Primates; Lemuridae
Exons: 3
Source: RefSeq, a predicted model, not a curated record
CUUCUUGCUCACAGCAUAAAGCUGAGUUCCCUCUGGCCUCUGCAGGUUGUCUCAGCACCAGGAACCCGUGUCUCGGAAGAGACAUCACUCCAGUGACAGGCUUUCUGGGGUGGAUGGACUCAGAAAGAGCAACCAGGAGGCUAUGAACACCUCCAGGAUAUCCAGGUGUUCUUACUGGAGUUGGUAGCCAAUGGAAGUGACCAUACAAGAAAGGCACCAGUCUAUUUCUCUUUUCCUGCCGCCCUCAACUCAAUUUCUGUUAAUCAGCUUCCUUGGCUAGCCUCCACCCAGCUUCAGGGGCUGAGCCAAGGUCCACUCAGAGCUCCUAUAUGGGAGGCUCUGGGAAGCUCACCAAAUACUUUUCAGCAACCCUUCCAGGGUCACAUCUCCAGGAGGAUAUUAUCUCUCCACAGAAGUCCCUGGCCCAGCCUCCUGCAGUGCCACGCUCCGUGUAUUUGACAAGCUGAGUUGGACACUCAGUGUGGUAGAGUGUCAGUUUGUCAAAUACCCCAAGUGCGGCACAUGCCUAGCAGCUCCAGGCCAGAGCAGAUGGGAUACAACAAAUAGACUGCCGGCUGGAUACAAGAAUGCUUACCAAACACCAAGCUCUCGGAAAUUAUCUUCCACGACUUUGAGGGAACUGAGGCAUUAAAUCCAAGGGUGCCAGGGCAAAAGUGAGAGCUACAGCCUCGGCUAUGUCUACACACAUUGUUUGAGUGCUGAGGGAGGCACAAUAGUCUUGAAAAGGUGUAAGGUAUAAGGGGCCCAGUGAUAGAAGUGCUCUUUGAUUUAUUAUUCUUUUCUUCCUUCACAUUCUCCUUCCAGAACCUCCCAGCUAGGACACCAGAAUUCUCACACAAGCAUCAUAGCUGGCUUAUGUGAGAAAGCAGGGCUUAGAAACCCACUUUCCUGAUAGUCUCAGCUCCUAAACACAGCUUGGCCUUGUCUACUUCCUUCCUUUUCCUCAUGCCUUUUAUUCUUCUAGGAACACCUCCAUUUCUUUCCGCUUAUCAAUUCUUCCCCACAUUUCUUGGUCUAGCCAAAGUUCAGACUCUCCAGGAACUUUUGAAAGUCAACCUGUGCUUUUUCCUUCUCCAUUCGCAAAGCACUGCUUGCCCAGGUCCUGUUAUAUGUCCCUUUAUCUCUUACUUCCCCGUAGCACCUCUUGAAUCGUUAACAAACUCUUGCAGGAGAUAUUCUUGAAUUCCCCAGUAGAUUGUGAGCUUCUAGAAGACAAAAUUAUAUUUGAUCACUGUUUCCUUCAACCUCCCACAAUCCAGUACUUUGGUAACAGAAAAUACUCCAUAAAUGUUUACUGAUUGAUUGACUUUACACUAGUGCAUUAGCUUUGGGCCUUUGGGCCAAAUGCCAUGUCAGAUUUUGUUUAAAAAAAUCAAACUGUGGAUAGCACAAUGCUAUAGGGCAUGCAAGGUAGUAGCCAACAUGGAAAGUUUUUUUCUUUCUGAGAAAUAGGGCCAAAGGUUGGAGGAGGAGGGCAAAAAAGUACUCGCAGAGGGAAAAUAAGUUUUGGAAUUACUUGGUCACACAAAGUUAUACAGGUGAUUUAUUGUAGAAUUUUUCAGACCCUUUAAUAUUCUAGUGUUACACUGGGAACCCCAAAGAGAGACCUUUGCCAUGCCUAUCUGAUCAUGGAAAUUUUUUUUCAUGUGCUAGCUCCUUGGUCAUUGUUUCAUGGAACAAAAUUUGGGAAAGUGCCCUAGGGAAACUUCAUACCUUUCCUCUUUUCUGGAGAUAUUCCCUUCUUUUCACUCCUCUGCUUUUCCCUGAGCAGCCACCUGCCUAAGACAGGUCUCCUGUUAUCACCCCAUUUUUGUUUAGCUUAUCCUACAGCUUUGGGCUACUUCUAUUCCUAGGAAUCCCUUACUGGCUUAUAUUGUAUGGAAAAAAUUAUCAGUUUGGGGGCAAGGGUGACCUCCAGAAGUUUCCUGUUGUAAUAAAUAUAUGAUUCUAGGCGUU